Molecule: non-coding RNA, 112 nt
Organism: Acanthosepion pharaonis
Lineage: Eukaryota; Metazoa; Mollusca; Cephalopoda; Sepiida; Sepiidae
Source: the annotation of a GenBank genome assembly
UAUGGCCAUAACACACUGAAACAUUGAAUCUUAUAUGAUCACUGAAGUUAAACCAUGUUGAGCAUGGUCAGUACCUAGAUGGGUGACUGCUUGGGAAUAUCAGGUGCUGUAA